Molecule: long non-coding RNA, 250 nt
Organism: Heterocephalus glaber (naked mole-rat)
Lineage: Eukaryota; Metazoa; Chordata; Mammalia; Rodentia; Bathyergidae
Source: Ensembl
GUAGACUCUAGCAUCUGGACAUUUGGUCACCUGGAUUCUGAAUCUUACUUCAUCUUUAGAGCUAUGUGACCUCACCUACCUUCUUCGAGCCUCAAGAUCAAUGUGGUGUACCUCCUGAUUAUAGGGACAUAGUUUACAUCAUACCAAGCAUACAACAAAGUGGAUGCUAGAUAAAACUUCACUAAGGUAAUACAUAAAUGAGCAUGAUGCCUCUUUUUGAAGGUGUUAUGUAACCAUGGAGGCGCCAGAU